UAGCACUCCCCUUGACAAGGACGGAAGAGGUCAAUCGAUCUUUCUAACACGUAUGGGCAUUGCUCUCUACUUCAGAGCAACCUAUUUUUU
Non-coding RNA from Octopus bimaculoides (California two-spot octopus), 90 nucleotides. The record is from Rfam. Lineage: Eukaryota; Metazoa; Mollusca; Cephalopoda; Octopoda; Octopodidae.